Molecule: ribosomal RNA, 553 nt
Filed under: Fusarium proliferatum
Lineage: Eukaryota; Fungi; Ascomycota; Sordariomycetes; Hypocreales; Nectriaceae
Description: eukaryotic LSU rRNA
Rfam family: 5.8S ribosomal RNA (bases 192-345)
Source: RNAcentral
UCGUAACAAGGUCUCCGUUGGUGAACCAGCGGAGGGAUCAUUACCGAGUUUACAACUCCCAAACCCCUGUGAACAUACCAAUUGUUGCCUCGGCGGAUCAGCCCGCUCCCGGUAAAACGGGACGGCCCGCCAGAGGACCCCUAAACUCUGUUUCUAUAUGUAACUUCUGAGUAAAACCAUAAAUAAAUCAAAACUUUCAACAACGGAUCUCUUGGUUCUGGCAUCGAUGAAGAACGCAGCAAAAUGCGAUAAGUAAUGUGAAUUGCAGAAUUCAGUGAAUCAUCGAAUCUUUGAACGCACAUUGCGCCCGCCAGUAUUCUGGCGGGCAUGCCUGUUCGAGCGUCAUUUCAACCCUCAAGCCCAGCUUGGUGUUGGGACUCGCGAGUCAAAUCGCGUUCCCCAAAUUGAUUGGCGGUCACGUCGAGCUUCCAUAGCGUAGUAGUAAAACCCUCGUUACUGGUAAUCGUCGCGGCCACGCCGUUAAACCCCAACUUCUGAAUGUUGACCUCGGAUCAGGUAGGAAUACCCGCUGAACUUAAGCAUAUCAAUAGGC